UGGGGAAUUUUGGACAAUGGGCGAAAGCCUGAUCCAGCAAUGCCGCGUGUGUGAAGAAGGCCUUCGGGUUGUAAAGCACUUUUGUCCGGAAAGAAAUCCUUGGCUCUAAUACAGUCGGGGGAUGACGGUACCGGAAGAAUAAGCACCGGCUAACUACGUGCCAGCAGCCGCGGUAAUACGUAGGGUGCAAGCGUUAAUCGGAAUUACUGGGCGUAAAGCGUGCGCAGGCGGUUUGCUAAGACCGAUGUGAAAUCCCCGGGCUCAACCUGGGAACUGCAUUGGUGACUGGCAGGCUAGAGUAUGGCAGAGGGGGGUAGAAUUCCACGUGUAGCAGUGAAAUGCGUAGAGAUGUGGAGGAAUACCGAUGGCGAAGGCAGCCCCCUGGGCCAAAUACUGACGCUCAUGCACGAAAGCGUGGGGAGCAAACAGGAUUAGAUACCCUGGUAGUCCACGCCCUAAAACGAUGUCAACUAGUUGUUGGGGAUUCAUUUCCUUAGUAACGUAGCUAGCGCGUGAAGUUGACCGCCUGGGGAGUACGGUCGCAAGAUUAAAACUUAAAUGAAUUGACGGGGUCAUAGCUGUUUCCU
This 587-nucleotide ribosomal RNA is filed under the name uncultured bacterium. RNAcentral describes it as "partial 16S ribosomal RNA". It matches the Rfam family "Bacterial small subunit ribosomal RNA", at positions 355 to 1375 of the family's 1533-position model. The record is from RNAcentral.